CUCCAAGGCGCCGGCUGCCAUGAUUGCGGGCAGCGGGACGCGCGCGCACGCUCGGGCCCGGCUCCGGGACCCUCCGCGGACCGACAGUCGCGGCCUGCCCGCAGCCCUGUGCGCGCUGCGGGCAGCGCGAGGGUCUCCCGGCUUAUUUCCGUGGGACCAGUGUGUAUCGUGGAGCUCUAGACCAGGCACUAGGACAGUACUCGUGGCCGACAGUGGCAGUGGCUUUCCCCAGGGCAAGUCGCGCGCACGGGCGCCCAGCAGCCUCUUCCCGGACACCACCGGCCCCGCGGAGCAAGGGGCGCGGUACCCUUUGGGCUGUGGUGGAGCGGAUCCGGCGAGCGGGAGUGGGAGGACAGCGCACUAUGCCGGAGAUGGCGCAGAAACUGCGGGGAGAAGUUCAAGGCCGCAGCUUUGCUCUCAGCCCGACGGCGACACUGCUGCCUCCAGGCCACACGGUUCUUUCCUGGGCUCCUUCAGGGGAAGGGGAACGCCUGGGCUCCAUGGCCUGGACACUGGUUAGGAUGUCAAGGAGUCUGCAGCGUCUUUCCCCGCCGGCUUUGCAGGGGCGUCCAAGCCGUCUGCAAACUGCAGAGGCGCAGGCCUGGGACUCUGGCCCUGGGGAACACCCGUCAGCACACGGUGGCUACACUCAGACCCCUUCCCCCUGCCUGGGUAUGCUCUGGCUCAGAGCCACGCAGACCUAGCUCUUCCUGAACGCCAGCGAUGGCCCCGUUGAUGGCCAGGGCCUGAGAGAAACAUGGCCUCGGGGCCCCAUCCCACUCUCUGUGCCUGUCUCCCCCCUACUACCCCCCCUCUGGCCUUGGCAUUCUAACCAGUGUCCCUUGACGUCACAUCUCGCCAUUUCUGUCAACCAAUUGAAACUUGCCCGUUGUCAUAAAAAUAUAUAUUUUUAUGCCAUUGGUAAAUUCAAAAGUUCCUCGCAUGCCCAGCUGCCCAGGAAACUCCACUCCACGUUGGAUUGGAUUGCCCAGGAGGGGAAAACUGGCCACUUGGUUAAGGCUGGGCUAGACAGCACUGUGAGGACCCGGGGCUGUCCAAGCCCGGUAGACCCCAUGGCCUUGGCCUUGGCCUUGGAUAGUGCUGGACACUACACACCCACAUCAUUACCACAACCCGUGACACAGAAUGGGGGGGGGCGGGGAUCCAGGAUAUGCUAAGAAAUCUUCCCAGUUGCUUUCCUGGGAGUCUGGGGUAUGGAAUCUUACUUCUUUUAGCUUGCUUUUUCCCUAUCAGAAAACUAGGGUUUCGAAAACAGAGCAGAAACAUUUCCAGCCCACGUCUUCACUGGAAUUUUUACCAACUUUCACUUUCCAUGGCUGCCAGCAGCAGUAAAGAUUCAGCCCAAGCAGGAGCCAUUUCACUCUUUCCUGCAGAGGGUGCAUUGUGGCCUCUGCAGGAAGAGCUGUGGGACCCAGGGCCAGGAGCCCUGGAGCCCUGUGUCCCUUUGUGCUCAGGAACACCAAGCCUCUGACAGAAGGACAGGGAGAAUCAGUUUAGUCUAGCACCGUCCUUUAUAAAGUCUUCACAGUCAGAGUUCCCAACCAGGAAGUGUGGGAAAAGAGCAUAACAUCCACCCAGGGUGACUGCACUGGCAGUCCCCAAAAGCCACUCGGAUCCCUCUGUGAGCCCCCUUCUGCUCCACCCACACAGGGACAAGCUCAGCCACCAACUGCCAUUACCAGCUUCUCCUGUGCCCCUCCUUACUGCACGGUUCAACCACUUCCAAAACAUGAAAGACAUCUUGAGGUUUAGUAAGUUUAGGAGCUCCUGUAGAACAAAAUGCGUAGGGACAGGGCCGAGGGCAGGGAUCAUAACAGUAUAACACCAGGCCCUUUUAAUGCCGAAUCUCACUUUUCUAACCUCAUGAGCAAGCUCAGAACCACCAAACAAAUGGGGAUUCCGAACUAAAUAUAUGAUGACUUCAAAUGUAAAACUCUUCUCAGGCACAAAUUCUGAAGAUGCUGCAUACCUUUGAGAUAUAAUUGUAAAGAAAUAAAAGACUGUAUCCAACAACCACACCAUAAUCUAUUUAUAAUCACUUUUCCAAACACUAUAAAUAUUACAACUAAUGUGAUAUACGUUUUGUGAUUAAAACAUGAAUUAAAUAGUGGAUUAAAACACUGAAUUUUAAAAAGCCACAAAGAAAAAGAGAUUAUCUUCCAUUACGCCACUUACAACUUUGUUCCAUUGGCACAAAUACAAAGUUGACAACGGUAUCAUUACUGAAUGCAGUAGAUGCCAGGAUAUUAGCUUUGUAAUUUUCACCUGAAAUCGUUGUAUAAUCACACCAGCUUACUCACCUUCUUUUUAUUGGCCAUUUUUUUUCUUGCUCUCACACAGUAAUAAGUUAAUUUAAUGUAUUUUCCCUCCUUCCAAUUUUUAUUUGAUAAAACAAGAAAUCAAGUGAGUCAGAAGAAUAUUCAAGAACACCCACUUUUUAAAAACUCUCCCGUACUUGGCAAGGAUUUACACACAAUUUGGUUGCAAAUUCAGAAAACAAAUUCUGCUUAAUUCUAGGAAAAUAAUAACACUCAGGUAAUUCCACUGGUAUUAUUCAGUUGGACGCUUUUUCCCCCCCUCACUACUUGCCAUCACAUAUUAUUCAAAGUAAAAAAAUAUUUUUAAAGUGAGCUCAAAGACUCAAAAAGGGAAGAUGGAAAAUUUACAUUGCUGAUGAGCAUUAUGCUGGACAAUUUUCCUGGAAGAAAAACUUGGCUUGUCCCUUUAGGCCACAACCAUGCCUGAGGUCAGAUGUUUGAAAAUAAGUCCUAGGAAGCCUGCCGCUGUACCAGGAUGUUUACAGUAUCAGCCUUAUACAGUUAUUUUUUCCUGAUUUCUCCCAAGAUCUGCCUAAUGGGAAUGCGGCCGGCAACUUCCUGCCAUACCCUUGAGCCCUGGCUCUCUCGCCUUUGCCCUUGGCCGGCGGUCCAGCCUCAGAAGGCUGGGGGUGGGCUUCAGUUUCAAUUCUCUUCUCUCCUCAUAGCGACAUUUAAUAGUGUUAAGUUUCCAGGACCCGAGAAAUCACGAGGACUUAGUAAGCAGAUGCAUUUAAUCUAGUCAAAGCAAGCAGAUGCAUGUGAGUGAAACCCACUCGGGUUCUGAUCCUUCAGUUUGCACGUCAAGAACUGUGGUGUGUCCAAAGCUGGCCGAUAAACCUGGGAUUGCAAAUUUGCCGAAGUUAAGAUGCCCCUUGGAUCAGCCCUGACAAGGCGCCUUCAGAGUUGCUGCUAAGCAGCUUUGGUUAUUCCGUAAAAAGGCAAACCAGGCUUCUGUUUUCUUUCUUUCGCCUUUGUCUCAGAGGAGUUUGCAGAUUGGAGAGUCCAUUUUAAUACGCCUGGCUCAGGGUAACUUGUGCUGCUACUUUGUGAAGGCUUUACUCUCACUCACGCACAAAACCUAUAGCAUCCCUUUCCUUUGGGUAAAUAUGUAUGGGUAUAUACAUAUUAUCAGAAAUAGGUAACCACACACAGGUAUGAUUUCUUACAGAGGAAGUUGAGGAAGGAGAGAACAAAAAACUCCUGAUUUCCAUAGAAGCUGCUGAGAGCUGAUGUGGUCUAGACAGGGACAGGAUCGAGCAAACUACCACAGAAGGGACUCUCCUCCUUCCAGACAUAAUGAAGGCUUUUCAGAAUCUUUUGCUGCAGUCCCCCGUGUAGGUCACAUUUGGUGCUGAUUUACCACCAACAGUAACGCAGCCUGGCUGCGGGACAAUGGCGUCCGAGGACACCAUCUCCCCUUCUUCUUUCCUGAAAUAUAGAGAACACCCUGAAGCUGUCUGCAGCUGGCCAUGCCAAGCAGCAUGUCCUCUGCUCUCGGGGCUCCUGGGUGCUGAUCCCAUGCCAUGCUGCUGGCUGGUUAGCAAGCUGCUAGGAGCCUGGCAUCAUGGACUUCAACCCACUUGGGAAGUUCACACGUUUGCUACCCACAAAGCGUCACCAGUGCCCCCAACUUGAAAAGAAGUCUAAAACCCCAAAGGCAUUCUUAAGGGGUUAGUAUUAUUUCUCUAAUAAAGGAAAGCGUAAAACCACAA
Ictidomys tridecemlineatus (thirteen-lined ground squirrel) is the source of this 4051-nucleotide non-coding RNA. Lineage: Eukaryota; Metazoa; Chordata; Mammalia; Rodentia; Sciuridae. The record is from RefSeq and is a predicted model, not a curated record.